GUAAUACUCCCUUCGUCCGGAAAUACUUGUCACGGGAAUGGAUGUAUCUAGAUGUAUUUNNNUUCUAGAUACAUCCAUUUUUAUACAUUUGUGCGACAAGUAAUUCCGGACGGAGGGAGUACUUA
Non-coding RNA from Hordeum vulgare subsp. vulgare (domesticated barley), 125 nucleotides. Lineage: Eukaryota; Viridiplantae; Streptophyta; Magnoliopsida; Poales; Poaceae. The record is from Rfam.